AGGGAUACAGACUAGACCUAUGAUUUUAUUGGUGCGGCAGGAACUUCUUUCCCAAAGGCAGCUUGUAGAGAAGCACUGUGGCUAGCUUGGAAGCCAGGAAGACCGGGGUUCAAGUCCUCUCUCUGACAUGUAAGGGCAGUGUGACCUUAAACAACAUAGUAGGAGGAAACCAAAACACUGAAUGGGGCCUCAGGCUAGGUUAAGGAUGGUCUAGCUGCUAGGUCAAGGUUGGAGAUAAUUCCACGGUCACCUGCCCCGGUCAGAAGAUAGCUGCAGUAUAGUGGUUCGUUCUGAGCCCUACCGUUUAGGAGGGGCCAUUGAAAGUAUAGAGAGGAGGGAGACCAAGAUGGCGAAGGGCUGUCCUGGGACCUCCUAUGACUCUACGGAUUGUAUCAUGUUGUAUUGUAUUGCCCUCAGAACUAGACUGCGAGGACAGGGGAGGAUGGGAGGAAGGGGUCCCCAAUGCCUCAGUCUUGUUGGGGCAGCGUCUCAUUCUAGAGCAGCGCAGUGUUCAGCACAGGGGUACAUCAGCGCAGCUGGCCGGUCCAGAAGAAUAGGAGAUGGGGGGUGGGGAAUGAAGGCUGGAGAAAGGGGGGUCUUUGGUGACUCUCCUUAUCCCCUCCAUCCCUCUCCGGCCUGUUUUCCUGGGCCCAGCGCUGCUCUUGUUGCCAUGGCAGCCCAGCUGGUCUGGGCAGACACGGAAAGAAUAGGCUGCAAGCUGCCCUGGGGGAUGGAAGGGGGUGGUGUGGGACAGGCAGCAGCUGGUGCUCGAGGGGUCUGUUCAGCCUGGUCCAGAUGGACAAGCUCUGCAGUCCGGCCCUCCCUCCUCACCGCAGCAGCCGCCACCUGGAGCCUCGCACAAAGCAGGGUGGAUGCUCGCCCCUUUGAGCUGCUGCCUGCGUGCCUUGUGCGCUGCCUGCGCCUUGAUCACCCAGACCACUGCACCUCAGAAACGUCUCUGCCUGGCCCGCCUGUAGGGAACCAGGUAAGGCUGAGACUUUCCCUUUCCUGCCUUCUCUUCACGGUCCUAUUCCUCAAGCACCAACCCC
This 1049-nucleotide long non-coding RNA is filed under the name Phascolarctos cinereus (koala). Its description in RNAcentral is "lncRNA (ENSPCIG00000020959.2)". The record is from RNAcentral. Lineage: Eukaryota; Metazoa; Chordata; Mammalia; Diprotodontia; Phascolarctidae.